CCCACGCCAACAGUUGCCCAGCUCGGUCCUCCCGGGGAUGGUGGGGACACUGUUGGGACCGCCUCUGCUAAAGAGGAGGAAGGAAUGGGGCAACGGUAGGUCAGCAUGCCCCGAAUUAUCUGGGCUACACGCGGGCUACAAUGGGUGGGACAAUGGGUAUCGACACCGAAGGUGAAGGCAAUCUCCUAAACCCAUCCGUAGUUCGGAUUGUGGGCUGCAACUCGCCCACAUGAAGCUGGAAUCUGUAGUAAUCGUGUCUCAAAAUGGCACGGUGAAUAUGUCCCUGCUCCUU
RNAcentral lists this ribosomal RNA (292 nucleotides) under uncultured Methanomicrobiales archaeon. RNAcentral describes it as "partial 16S ribosomal RNA". It matches the Rfam family "Archaeal small subunit ribosomal RNA", at positions 1051 to 1338 of the family's 1478-position model. Lineage: Archaea; Methanobacteriati; Methanobacteriota; Methanomicrobia; Methanomicrobiales. The record is from RNAcentral.